This 468-nucleotide ribosomal RNA is filed under the name uncultured bacterium. Its description in RNAcentral is "partial 16S ribosomal RNA". It matches the Rfam family "Bacterial small subunit ribosomal RNA", at positions 28 to 507 of the family's 1533-position model. The record is from RNAcentral.
GACGAACGCUGGCGGCGUGCUUAACACAUGCAAGUCGAACGGAAAGGCCCUGCUUUUGUGGGGUUCUCGAUUGGCGAACGGGUGAGUAACACGUGAGUAACCUGCCCUUGACUUUGGUAUAACUUCAGGAAACUGGGGCUAAUACCGGAUAGGAGCUCCUGCUGCAUGGUGGGGGUUGGAAAGUUUCGGCGGGUGGGGAUGGACUGGCGGCUUAUCAGCUUGUUGGUGGGGUAGUGGCUUACCAAGGCUUUGACGGGUAGCCGGCCUGAGAGGGUGACCGGCCACAUUGGGACUGAGAUACGGCGCAGACUCCUACGGGAGGCAGCAGGGGGGAAUAUUACACAACGGGCGGAAGCCUGAUGCAGCAACGCCGCGUGCGGGAAGACGGCCUUCGGGUUGUAAACCGCUUUCGCCUGUGACGAAGCGGGAGUGACGGUAAUGGGUAAAGAAGCACCGGCUAACUACGUG